UUGAUCCUGGCUCAGAAUCAACGCUGGCGGCGUGCCUAAUACAUGCAAGUCGAACGCGAAAGUCCCGCAAGGGAUGAGUAGAGUGGCAAACGGGUGAGUUACGCGUGGGUGACCUGCCUUCGAGUGGGGGAUAACGUCUCGAAAGGGACUCUAAUACCGCAUAACAUCCUGUCUUUUAAGAGAUGGUGAUCAAAGCCGGUGAUCGCAAGACCUGGCGCUGGAAGAGGGGCCCGCGUCCGAUUAGCUAGUUGGUGGGGUAACGGCUCACCAAGGCAUCGAUCGGUAGCCGGCCUGAGAGGUCGGACGGCCACACUGGGACUGAGACACGGCCCAGACUCCUACGGGAGGCUGCAGUAGGGAAUUGUUCGCAAUGGGCGCAAGCCUGACGACGCAACGCCGUGUGGAGGAUGAAGACCUUCGGGUCGUAAACUCCUUUCGAUCGAGACGAAUGAUCUCCGGGUGAACAAUCCGGAGAAAUGACGGUACCGAGAGAAGAAGCUCCGGCUAACUCCGUGCCAGCAGCCGCGGUAAUAAGGU
RNAcentral lists this ribosomal RNA (537 nucleotides) under uncultured Acidobacteriota bacterium. Its description in RNAcentral is "bacterial SSU rRNA". It matches the Rfam family "Bacterial small subunit ribosomal RNA", at positions 13 to 529 of the family's 1533-position model. Lineage: Bacteria; Pseudomonadati; Acidobacteriota. The record is from RNAcentral.